GAUAAACGCUGGCGGCGUGCUUAACACAUGCAAGUCGAACGGAGUACUUCUCCCGAGACCGAGGAAGCUUGCUUCCAAAGAAUCAUUUGAAGUACUUAGUGGCGGACGGGUGAGUAACGCGUGGGUAACCUGCCUCACACAGGGGGAUAACAGUUGGAAACGACUGUUAAUACCGCAUAAGCGCACAGUAUCGCAUGAUACAGUGUGAAAAACUCCGGUGGUGUGAGAUGGACCCGCGUCUGAUUAGCUAGUUGGUGAGGUAACGGCCCACCAAGGCGACGAUCAGUAGCCGGCCUGAGAGGGUGUACGGCCACAUUGGGACUGAGACACGGCCCAAACUCCUACGGGAGGCAGCAGUGGGGAAUAUUGCACAAUGGGGGAAACCCUGAUGCAGCGACGCCGCGUGAGUGAUGAAGUAUCUCGGUAUGUAAAGCUCUAUCAGCAGG
RNAcentral lists this ribosomal RNA (446 nucleotides) under bacterium ND4001. RNAcentral's name for it is "bacterial SSU rRNA". It matches the Rfam family "Bacterial small subunit ribosomal RNA", at positions 28 to 443 of the family's 1533-position model. The record is from RNAcentral.